Daktulosphaira vitifoliae (grape phylloxera) is the source of this 1590-nucleotide long non-coding RNA. RefSeq lists it as uncharacterized. The transcript has 4 exons. The record is from RefSeq and is a predicted model, not a curated record. Lineage: Eukaryota; Metazoa; Arthropoda; Insecta; Hemiptera; Phylloxeridae.
GUUUAUUAUAUUUGCAAGGAUAAUGUACCAUUGCCCACUGUUGAAGUGUACAUAAGUUAAGUAAGUCUCAUACAUCUGAAAAUAUUAGUGAGGCAUUUGAAAUUAUUAUGACUCAAUGGGAAAUUAGUCAACACCAAAUUAUUGCUAUUGUAACUGAUAAUGAUAAAUUCUGAAUUUCACCAACUCAGUGAGCAACGAAUGUCUUCCAAUUUGUGGAUGGAGAAGAUAUCCACGCCAAAACUAUAUUUGAGUUCGUCCAAAAAUAACCACUUAUACAGCGACAUACUGGCUCGUUGAAAUAUACAGAUAAGAUCGUCGCGUAACUGAACAGCUGAUUCGAUAGUGUCUGUGCCUCCUAAAUAGUCGUCCAUGUAAAAAUUAUUUUUUAUUUCAGAACAAGCUGAUGGAUAAUAAUUUUCUUCCUGACUAGCUAAAGUACGUAAACAAGCAGUUGCUAAAAACGACGAAGGACUCAUACCAUAUGUGACUGUUGUUAAUUUAUAAGUUCCUAUGGGCAUUGUUGGAUUUUCUCUCCAUAAUAUUCUUUGGUAAUCACAAUGUUCAGGAACUAAAUUAAUUUGUCGAUACAUUUUUUUUAUAUCUGCAGUUAAAGCAACUCUAUGUUUUCUAAACCGUAUAUUAAAAUAAAAAUCAUAUCGUCUUGUAAGACGGGACCUUUUAAUAGUACGUCAUUCAGUGACUUACCAGAUGACAUUUUACACGACGCAUCGAAUACCACACGAAGUCGUGUUGUUGUACUAUUAUAAUUAUAUACAGGGUGGUGCGGUAAGUAACAUACAUAUUCCCCAACUAUGGGUUUCUUUUCACUAAUUUUCUGCAUAUGACCCAAUAUUUCGUAUUCUUUCAUAAAUUUACUAUAUUCCUCUUUUAACUUUUCGUCUUUUUGCAACUUUCUUUCCAUAUUUAAAAAUCUCUUUUUUGCUAUCUCGUAUGAUUCGCCUAAUUUAUAAUUUUCCCCUACUUUAAAAGGUAUAUAAACCAUAAAUCUACCGACAUCGUCUCGCUUAACCGUAUUUUCGAAAAACUCUUUACAUUUUUUAUCUCCUAACCUUUGAGGCGCGGCUGUUCCUACUUCUUCCAAACACCAAAAUUUAGAUAACAUAUUUUCUAAUUGAUUUUCGUGAUCAAUCACUGCAAAAUAACUAAUAGAAUGAUACGCUUGACUACAGCCUGGAUUAACUACUCCUGCAAUUACCCAACCAAACUGCAAUUGUUGAAAUAUUGGUCCGUCCUCGGACGGCUUAAUUUUACCCGCGUAUAAAACAUCAAAAAAGUGACCUGCUCCGAGUAAUAAGUCAAUUUUUUGCGGUACUGUGAAAGACGGAUCCGCUAAUUAAAUACCUUCCGGAAUAAAACAUUUACUUUUUUUAUUAUUCGACGGAAUAAAUCCUGUUAUCUUAGGAACAACCAAACAUUGUACUUCUAUUUUGAAUAAACUAAUGCGCGAUGUAAUUACUACUGUAACCGCUAAAGUAAUAUUUUUUUUAGUACCUCCUAUGCCAAUGACACUGUGGUGUACUCGCGAUUUACGCAACCUUAAUAAUUGUACCAUAUAUUCACUUAUAAAGU